This is a non-coding RNA of Balaenoptera musculus (blue whale), 73 nucleotides long. The record is from the annotation of a RefSeq genome assembly. NCBI's taxonomy places the organism in Eukaryota, Metazoa, Chordata, Mammalia, Artiodactyla, Balaenopteridae.
UCCCUGGUGGUCCAGUGGUUAAGACAAUGCACUUCCAAUGCAGGGGGUGCAGGUUCAAUCCCUGCUCAGGGAA